RNAcentral lists this ribosomal RNA (476 nucleotides) under uncultured bacterium. RNAcentral's name for it is "SSU rRNA". It matches the Rfam family "Bacterial small subunit ribosomal RNA", at positions 15 to 486 of the family's 1533-position model. The record is from RNAcentral.
GAUCCUGGCUCAGAUUGAACGCUGGCGGCAUGCUUUACACAUGCAAGUCGAACGGCAGCGGGGGCUUCGGCCUGCCGGCGAGUGGCGAACGGGUGAGUAAUGCAUCGGAACGUACCCAGUCGUGGGGGAUAACUACGCGAAAGCGUAGCUAAUACCGCAUACGUCCUGAGGGAGAAAGCGGGGGACCGAAAGGCCUCGCGCGAUUGGAGCGGCCGAUGUCGGAUUAGCUAGUUGGUGGGGUAAAGGCCUACCAAGGCGACGAUCCGUAGCGGGUCUGAGAGGAUGAUCCGCCACACUGGGACUGAGACACGGCCCAGACUCCUACGGGAGGCAGCAGUGGGGAAUUUUGGACAAUGGGCGCAAGCCUGAUCCAGCCAUGCCGCGUGAGUGAAGAAGGCCUUCGGGUUGUAAAGCUCUUUCAGACGGAAAGAAAUCGCGCGGGCGAAUAACCUGCGUGGAUGACGGUACUGUCAGAA